This 261-nucleotide ribosomal RNA is filed under the name uncultured bacterium. Its description in RNAcentral is "partial 16S ribosomal RNA". It matches the Rfam family "Archaeal small subunit ribosomal RNA", at positions 474 to 734 of the family's 1478-position model. The record is from RNAcentral.
UACCAGCACCCCCGAGUGGUCGGGACGAUUAUUGGGCCUAAAGCAUCCGUAGCCGGUUCUACAAGUCUUCCGUUAAAUCCACCUGCUUAACAGAUGGGCUGCGGAGGAUACUAUGGAGCUAGGAGGCGGGAGAGGCAAGCGGUACUUAGUGGGUAGGGGUAAAAUCCGUUGAUCCAUUGAAGACCACCAGCGGCGAAGGCGGCUUGCCAGAACGCACUCGACGGUGAGGGAUGAAAGCUGGGGGAGCAAACCGGAUUAGAA